CCGACGUUCCAGCAGCUCCAUGCGGGGAUCCCGUAGGCUGACACGGCACGAACACCCUCAUCGUCUUGUCCCGCACAUCUACUCUUAUUUCGCUUCCACAAACGGUGGACCGAACUACAAACCAGGGAGCCAUCUGGUGGCUCCAGUCACUGCUCCCUGAACCUCCAGCUCAUCGGCCACACAACCAAGUCUGUGUCCCCGUAUCUCUCGUCUCUUCUGGCCUCUGCUUUGCCAGCAUCCCUUGCUUUGGUGACCAUCUCUGAGAAGAUGUCCCUGCUUCUCGUGUCACCCCAUCCUCGCUCUGCAGGAUUAUCUUUCCAACUACGUCCAAUCAUUUUACUCGCUGGCUGACUUAGCACAUACACCUGACUCCCUGUUGUGGGGGAGACCGUUCACACUCUUUGGUGUGCAGAGCAGGGUUCAUGGUGGCCCUGGGGCCCAACUGCGAGUGACCCUCCGGCCCGAAUCCUGCCCCAUUUAGCCCCUGUGCGCAGCUCAUCUUGUCUCGUAUCUUGCUCUCAAGCCACACUCAGCCAAACCCCUCAUUUGCUCGCUAAGCUGCCCUUCCUGGCACCUGCCCUUCUGUGUUUGGGAAAGAAUUCUGAAUUUAGAAUCAGAUGGACCCUCACGGCCCUUCCACUCAGCUUGGCACCCCUCCAGAAUUUCUGAACCUCGGCACACCAUCACCAGCUUGUCGUCGGUGGAGCCUUUCCUUCCCAGGACACCUGGAUCCCUCGGGGGUGCCCGCUCUACUCCUUCCACCUCUGUCUUUGCCCUUCUCCCCGACUCGUUCUAUCAGUCCCUCCGAGGAACUGGCUUCUCUGAGCCCCCAACACCUAGUAUCGUGCCUGGCAUCUAACAGAUGAUGGAACGAAUGGGGGAAAGUGCGAGCAAAAGUUCCAUUUGCCAAUCUGUAAAAUGGGGAUAAUAUCCUGGCCUCAGAGAACAGCGGGCAUUUGGUUUCUGCCCUUGGCCCUCUGUGUGACCAGUAGGUGGCGCUGUGAUCUACGAAUUCACGUUUCCUGGGGCCUCUGGGGCCUACAUCUGGAGUGCAGGUGGUCUGGAUGAACUAAAACCCAAAUCAGACUAAUCAAACCUCCCCCUGAGAGGUGCUAACCCAUGCGGCCCCUGUCCUCUGGGCGGGGGCGGGCGGGACGCAGCGGAGAGGCUCCUUCUGCAGCCUUGAAUGGAGGGACAUGCCCAUUCCUCCCGCUGUGCUCCCCUGGGGAGGCUCCGUGGAGUUAGGGACCCUCAGACACUUGGAUCUGGGGCCUCAUCUGACUCGGACCCUCAUCGUUCAAGGUGAAAGGGCCAUUGUCCUGUUUGGUUAAGAACAUGACUUUGGAGCUGACCUGGCCUGGGUCCGAAUGCCCGCACCGCCUCACCCUUGGUGUAUGACCCUGGGACGGUACCUUUCCUGAGCCACCUGUGUAGUAGUCACCCAUCACCGAUAGAGACUAUCGGGAAAGAGACCGGGUUCUAUAGGAUGUGUAUAUAUAGAGAGAUUUAUCUAAAGAUUUGGCUCACCCGACCGUGGGGGCUGGCAGGUCUGAAACCUGCAGGCAGGCAGGCGGGGUGGGGACCCCAAGGAAUAGUUGAUGCCGAGAUCUCCAGUUCAAGGGUAGUCUCGGGGCAGCAUUCCUUCCCCUCUGGAGACCUUCGUCCUUGGAUGCCCAGCUCCGCUCCUACAGGCUCCGGCUUGGAACCUCACAGCAGCCUCCCAGGGAAGCUGGGACCCUGCAUGCGUCUAGUCUCUCCAGCCCAUGACCGCGAGGGACCGAUUCCCUCCAGUCUUGAGGAACAAAGGCAGCUGGGACCCCUGGCCACAGAGGGGAGUGUCAACACGGGGGCUCCUGGCCAGAGUCUCACCACAGCAGAGAUGCCCCACUUGUGACAGAGACUCCCCACUUGUGACAGGCUCUCCUGCUCCUGCAGCUUCUCAAAUGGAAGUUCGGCAGCAUCAUGGGAGGGACAUCCCAGUGGCAACAAGCAUGGAGCAUGGGAAAGCACGACCCCGGGGCACCUGGGUGGCUCAGCGGUUGAGCAUCUGUCUUUGGCUCAGGCCAUGAUCCCAGAGUCCUGGGAUGGAGCCCUCCAUUGUGAUCCCGGCUCAGCAGGGAAUCUGCUUCACCCUCUCCCUGUGCCCCACUCCCCUGCUCAUGCUUGCUCUCCCUCCCUCCCUCCUCUCUCUCUCCA
Molecule: long non-coding RNA, 2196 nt
Filed under: Canis lupus familiaris (dog)
Lineage: Eukaryota; Metazoa; Chordata; Mammalia; Carnivora; Canidae
Description: lncRNA (ENSCAFG00000050210.1, ENSCAFG00845004892.1)
Source: RNAcentral